Molecule: long non-coding RNA, 1509 nt
Organism: Coregonus clupeaformis (lake whitefish)
Lineage: Eukaryota; Metazoa; Chordata; Actinopteri; Salmoniformes; Salmonidae
Exons: 11
Source: RefSeq, a predicted model, not a curated record
CUCACUACGCCACCGCUGCCUGAUCCACCCGCCCCAUCGGUCAGGAUUUACGUGGUGGUUUUCACGGGAAAGAUAGCUAUGUCGGAGUUAAAGAAAUUUACCAAAAGGUUGAGUAAACCUGGAACGGCGGCCAAAGCGUCUCGGAGGCUGUGAGGACAUCGGUGAUUGUGUACGCUAGGGAAGCGGACCAGCUCAAUAAACUCAACAGGAAUGAAGGGAGACUAAAGCUGUUCUCUCUGGACCCUGAAACACAGCUCCUUCCCUUCCACAUCCUCCUCUCCUCUCUCUUUCCUCCCCCCUCUCCACUCCUUUCCACUUCUUCCUCCUCUCUCCCCUCCAGAGGUUGGACUUCUCGGGUAUAGAGCCUGACGUGAAGUCGUUUGAGGAGCGUUUCGGCCGGCGCAUCGCCAUCAGCUGCCAUGACCUCACCUUCAGCCUGCAGGGCUGUGUCAACGAGAGGGGGGACGGGGUCCUCACCAAUGUGGAGCCGUUCUUCAUCAGCCUGGCUCUGUUUGAUGUGUUGCUAAGAGCUGUAAGAUCUCCUCUGACUUCCAUGUGGACCUCAACCCCCCCCCCGUGUACGAGAGAUGCUGACCGACACCUCUCCUCCUCCCUACAUCAGAGGGAGGAGGAGGAGGAGGAGGUGGAGGAGGAGUGAACGGUGAUGCAGGGAAAGGGAAUGGUCUGCCCAUUCUACAGAGGGUGUCUGAGUCUCUGCUGCGUUUCCCUACUCAGGGUAUCUUCUCAGUGACCAACCUCCAUGCUGAUAUUUUCCUGGUGGCCAAAGUGGAGAAUGUCCUACAGAACAGUAUUACACACUGUGCUGAGCCCUACAUUAAGACCUCAGACAUCAACAAGACAGCCCAGAAGGUUCUGAAGGCUGCCAAGCAGACGUGUCAGCGCCUGGGCCAGUAUAGGAUGCCCUUCGCCUGGGCUGCCAAGCAGGUGUUUAAAGAUGCCCAGGGCAGUCUGGGUAUGGACGGGAAGUUCUCUCCUCUCUAUCGCCAGGACAACAGCAAGAUCUCCACCGAUGACCUCAUCAAUGCUGGCUGACAUCAGGAAGCCAGAGAAGAGCAAGGUACAGACUAUCCCUGGACAACUAAAUGUCACCAUCGAGUGUAUGCCUCCAGACUUCUCAAACACGGUGACCUCGUCCUACAUCCCAGUCAAGCCCUUUGAUGAGGAGUGUGAGAGGGUCCCUGUGGAGAUGGAGGAGUUUCUCCCUGAGGAGGCCAAGUACAACUACCUUUUCACUGUCUACAAGAACCACCUGUAUAUAUAUCCCCUGCAGCUGAAAUACGACAACCAGAAGACCUUUGCCAAGGCAAGAAGCGUAGCGGUGUGUGUGUGCAUUUCAGAGACUCGGACGAAGAAGGCGUGGCCCCUCUAAAGUGGGCUACUCCUGGGUCACUCUGUUGAAGGACGGCAGGAUGCAGUCUAUAGAGAUACAACUGCCUGUGUCUACCACCCUGCCCCCUGGAUACCUGUAUGACAAGACCCAGGACACAA